AGCUCCAAUAGCGUAUAUUAAAGUUGUUGCAGUUAAAAGCUCGUAGUUGGACUUCUGGGCUUGUGUUGUGGUCCGCCUAACGGUGAGCACUGCGACAUGGGUCCUUCUUCUUGAAGACUGUGCGUGCUCUUAACUGGGUGUGUACAGGAUUUGAGACCUUUACUUUGAAAAAUUAGAGUGUUCAAAGCAGGCCUUCGCUUGAAUACAUUAGCAUGGAAUAAUGGAAUAGGACUUCUGUUCUAUUUUGUUGGUUUCUAGGACUGAAGUAAUGAUUAAUAGGGAUAGUUGGGGGCAUUAGUAUUUAAUUGUCAGAGGUGAAAUUCUUGGAUUUAUGAAAGACUAACUUCUGCGAAAGCAUUUGCCAAGGAUGUUUUCA
Molecule: ribosomal RNA, 376 nt
Filed under: uncultured eukaryote
Lineage: Eukaryota
Description: SSU rRNA
Rfam family: Eukaryotic small subunit ribosomal RNA
Source: RNAcentral